GGUUAGAUUAACGUGUUAGUAAUCCAAUUGUAGGCGGUUCGUGUGUGGAUCUCGUCAACAUAUCGUCGCAAACAGGAAAUCCCCAACCAUAGUGGGCUUGGAGCUAUGAGGGAAUUCGGAGUGGCCACCCGUUCUGAAAGUUUGAUUUUCUUCUGGUGAACUGGACAUCCUUUUAAUUACGUUUGAGGUUUUGGGCUUUGAAAUGUAAUAAGGCCGCUUAUUUAUUUUUGAUGGUUUUUAAUAUGUAUUACUAAGAUAGGUAAUACUUAUUUUAACUGUUGAAAUUAGAUAGCUUUAGGGCGCGUUUUCAAAAACAACAGUUGAUUUCAAAAUAACACGACAACAAGCAAAGCUUCCGCAAUGAAA
Long non-coding RNA from Gossypium arboreum, 366 nucleotides. RefSeq lists it as uncharacterized. Lineage: Eukaryota; Viridiplantae; Streptophyta; Magnoliopsida; Malvales; Malvaceae. The record is from RefSeq and is a predicted model, not a curated record. The transcript has 2 exons.